UACAGAGACCUCAAGCGUUAUCCGGAUUUAUUGGGCGUAAAGCGUCCGCAGGUGGUUUGGUACGUUCCGCGUCAAAUGUCGAAGCUCAACUUCGGCACUGCGUAGAAUACGGCCAGGCUCGAGGCUGGGAGAGGUAAGCGGAAUUGCCGGUGUAGUAGUAAAAUGCGUUAAUAUCGGCAGGAACACCAAAUGCGAAGGCAGCUUACUGGAACAAGCCUGACACUCAUGGACGAAAGCGUGGGGAGCGAAAGGG
RNAcentral lists this ribosomal RNA (253 nucleotides) under uncultured bacterium. RNAcentral describes it as "partial 16S ribosomal RNA". It matches the Rfam family "Bacterial small subunit ribosomal RNA", at positions 524 to 776 of the family's 1533-position model. The record is from RNAcentral.